GACCUCGUAGCUCAGCUGGUAGAGUGUACGCUGUACAAAAGCGUAGGCGGCGUCCACUUUGGGGUUCGAAUCCCAUCGAGGCUA
RNAcentral lists this transfer RNA (84 nucleotides) under Echinostoma caproni. It matches the Rfam family "tRNA". Rfam says of the family: Transfer RNA (tRNA) molecules are approximately 80 nucleotides in length. Their secondary structure includes four short double-helical elements and three loops (D, anti-codon, and T loops). Further hydrogen bonds mediate the characteristic L-shaped molecular structure. tRNAs have two regions of fundamental functional importance: the anti-codon, which is responsible for specific mRNA codon recognition, and the 3' end, to which the tRNAs corresponding amino acid is attached (by aminoacyl-tRNA synthetases). tRNAs cope with the degeneracy of the genetic code in two manners: having more than one tRNA (with a specific anti-codon) for a particular amino acid; and 'wobble' base-pairing, i.e. permitting non-standard base-pairing at the 3rd anti-codon position. The record is from Rfam by way of RNAcentral. Lineage: Eukaryota; Metazoa; Platyhelminthes; Trematoda; Plagiorchiida; Echinostomatidae.